RNAcentral lists this long non-coding RNA (1033 nucleotides) under Homo sapiens (human). Its description in RNAcentral is "HSALNT0168883". The record is from RNAcentral. Lineage: Eukaryota; Metazoa; Chordata; Mammalia; Primates; Hominidae.
GGGAUUGGAACUGUUUGUUACAGCCUUUUCCAAGAGGGCAGUGGUUCUGUAUGUGUUUUGUGAGGCUUAAUGGUACUUGGAUUUGCUGGAGCAAAAAAAUUGAGUAGAUACUCAUCAUUGUGAAAUGUAAACUCAGAGCUCAGUUGGAAUGUUCUCUGCUAGUGGAAACCAACUAGUGUGGUUUUUGCAGAACCUGUGAGGGAAAUACAAGAAAUAAAUUGUAGGAUACACUUUGGAUAAAAUUGAAUCUCAUGUUUGGUCUUAGUUUCUUCUUUACUUCCUGCCUCACGCUGCACAUACUUACAGACAUCCACAUUCACAACCCCGUCUUCUUAGGCCUGUUAAGUAACUUGCGAAGAAUCUAGAAGUGUUGGUAAAGUUACAGUCAUUUUGUAAGGAUGUUCUGGGGAGAGAGACAAUCACAAGAACCAAAGCAAAUACCAAAGAUCACUAUAGUCAAAAGCAUGGUUUUUAAAUUCUUAAUGUGUCUCUCUAUCUUAGAAUAAAACAUUAUAAAUUUAAAGGAAUCCCAAGGAGCUUUUGUAUAUAUCUUUCUAUAAGCCGGAACCUCAAACUUGUCAUAGAGUUGUCUAGCAACUUAUAAAUGUCCAUGGGAGAGAGAUUACAAAAGUUAUCAGGAUAGAACGUUGUUCUACAAUCUAUAAAUACAAGGAAUGCUUUUUAGAUAGUAAUUACCUUUUUGUGAAAUUCUUUUGUUGUUUGAGGAUUAAAUGAAAUAAAACAUGAUAUAAAGAGCUUAACGCACAGUACCUGAUAACAUAAUAAGCAUGCAAACAUUCACUGCUGUUAUUACUAUCCAUUUGAGUUUAAUGGUUAUUUUAAUUAAUUGAUGGCUUGUUUGCUUAAUUAAACGACCUGUCAGAAUUUAGCAAGCUAAAAUGGAAACCAAGUGAAAACUGGUACUGGUAGACUGAUUUUAGAAAUACCUUCUUAGGCUGGGUGUGAGCCGCCGCACCCGGCCUGUAAAAUUCUUUUUAGAAGGGAAAUUUAACUUUGUAUGUUCUUUACCAGA